UACGUAGGUGGCAAGCGUUGUCCGGAUUUACUGGGCGUAAAGAGCGCGCAGGCGGCCGAGUAAGUCGAAUGUGAAAGCCCCCGGCUCAACUGGGGAAGGUCAUUCGAUACUGUUCGGCUCGAAGAUAGGAGAGGGAAGCGGAAUUUUAGGUGUAGUGGUGAAAUGCGUAGAUAUCUGAAGGAACACCAGUGGCGAAGGCGGCUUUCUGGCCUAUUCUUGACGCUGAGGCGCGAAAGCUAGGGGAGCGAACGGG
This 253-nucleotide ribosomal RNA is filed under the name uncultured bacterium. Its description in RNAcentral is "partial 16S ribosomal RNA". It matches the Rfam family "Bacterial small subunit ribosomal RNA", at positions 524 to 776 of the family's 1533-position model. The record is from RNAcentral.